GCUCCAAUAGCGUAUAUUAAAGUUGUUGCGGUUAAAAAGCUCGUAGUUGGAUUUCUGCCGAGGACGACCGGUCCGCCACUGGGUGUGCAUCUGGCUCGGCCUGGGCAUCUUCUUGGAGAACGUAUCUGCACUUCAUUGUGUGGUGCGGUAACCAGGACUUACUUUGAGGAAAUUAGAGUGUUUCAAGCAGGCGUGCGCCU
RNAcentral lists this ribosomal RNA (200 nucleotides) under uncultured eukaryote. RNAcentral's name for it is "partial 18S ribosomal RNA". It matches the Rfam family "Eukaryotic small subunit ribosomal RNA", at positions 588 to 796 of the family's 1831-position model. The record is from RNAcentral.